AAAGAAAGAUUAAUACCUGAUGGUAUGAUGAGAUUGCAUGAUAGCAUCAUUAAAGAUUUAUCGGUGUACGAUGGGGAUGCGUUCCAUUAGGUAGUAGGCGGGGUAACGGCCCACCUAGCCAACGAUGGAUAGGGGUUCUGAGAGGAAGGUCCCCCACAUUGGAACUGAGACACGGUCCAAACUCCUACGGGAGGCAGCAGUGAGGAAUAUUGGUCAAUGGACGAGAGUCUGAACCAGCCAAGUAGCGUGAAGGAUGAAGGUCCUACGGAUUGUAAACUUCUUUUAUAAGGGAAUAAACCCUCCCACGUGUGGGAGCUUGUAUGUACCUUAUGAAUAAGCAUCGGCUAACUCCGUGCCAGCAGCCGCGGUAAUACGGAGGAUGCGAGCGUUAUCCGGAUUUAUUGGGUUUAAAGGGAGCGCAGACGGGUCGUUAAGUCAGCUGUGAAAGUUUGGGGCUCAACCUUAAAAUUGCAGUUGAUACUGGCGUCCUUGAGUGCGGUUGAGGUGUGCGGAAUUCGUGGUGUAGCGGUGAAAUGCUUAGAUAUCACGAAGAACUCCGAUUGCGAAGGCAGCACACUAAUCCGUAACUGACGUUCAUGCUCGAAAGUG
Molecule: ribosomal RNA, 609 nt
Filed under: uncultured bacterium
Lineage: Bacteria
Description: bacterial SSU rRNA
Rfam family: Bacterial small subunit ribosomal RNA
Source: RNAcentral